CUGGAGCUGUGCAGAGAAGCAAAAGAGAAUUCACAUGAUGCAUUGGAACACAUUGUACUAUAGCAUAUUGGUAGAUGUUCUGAGAGGGGAGAAAGCACUGUUACCUGCAAUGUUCAGACUGUCAGAGACGCCAGCAUUAAUCAUUACCUAACAGCUAGUGAACUCCAGGGCAAUGAUAAAGAGAAUGAAAAGGCAGGUCAAGGCCACCCUUGCAAAUCCUGAGAGCUUGGCUCAAGAAUGGAGAGAGUUGCUGGGGAAAGGGAAGUGAACAAUGGAUGAAGAAGUGAUCAUUUUUUAACUGCUUAAGUGAAGGUCAAACAGGGCAAGAAGCUGAGAGUCAAGGAACCAGUUCACAAUUGUGUGAAGGGCUGUGGCUCUGACACCAGGAAGUGGAAGUGAGCACACCCAGCCUGGCAUGCCACACCGGUGAGCUGGGGGGCUGCUUGUGUCCAUGCUUUGGGAGUCCCAAGGGGUGGGUAACUUGUGGCUGGGGGUGUUUUCACUUUUCUGCUUUCCCUUGACUCUCCUAAACAUGAGUUCAAUAAACUUCAAUAACCUG
Molecule: long non-coding RNA, 559 nt
Organism: Gavialis gangeticus (Gharial)
Lineage: Eukaryota; Metazoa; Chordata; Crocodylia; Gavialidae
Exons: 4
Source: RefSeq, a predicted model, not a curated record